This 434-nucleotide ribosomal RNA is filed under the name uncultured bacterium. RNAcentral describes it as "bacterial SSU rRNA". It matches the Rfam family "Bacterial small subunit ribosomal RNA", at positions 959 to 1392 of the family's 1533-position model. The record is from RNAcentral.
ACGCGAAGAACCUUACCAGGUCUUGACAUCCUUCUGACCGCACCUUAAUCGGUGCUUUCCUUCGGGACAGAAGAGACAGGUGGUGCAUGGUUGUCGUCAGCUCGUGUCGUGAGAUGUUGGGUUAAGUCCCGCAACGAGCGCAACCCCUAUCUUCAGUAGCCAGCAGGUAAGGCUGGGCACUCUGGAGAGACUGCCAGGGAUAACCUGGAGGAAGGUGGGGACGACGUCAAAUCAUCAUGCCCCUUAUGAUCUGGGCGACACACGUGCUACAAUGGCGGUCACAGAGUGAGGCGAACCCGCGAGGGGGAGCAAACCACAAAAAGGCCGUCCCAGUUCGGACUGUAGUCUGCAACCCGACUACACGAAGCUGGAAUCGCUAGUAAUCGCGAAUCAGAAUGUCGCGGUGAAUACGUUCCCGGGUCUUGUACACACCG